Long non-coding RNA from Humulus lupulus (European hop), 687 nucleotides. RefSeq lists it as uncharacterized. The record is from RefSeq and is a predicted model, not a curated record. The transcript has 2 exons. Lineage: Eukaryota; Viridiplantae; Streptophyta; Magnoliopsida; Rosales; Cannabaceae.
UCGAACUUCUCCCAUCUCUGUUCUCUUCUUUCCCCCCGCUCUCUCACACACACUCGUCUCUGGGAAUCUAGUUGACCGCCUUCCGCUGUUCAAGGAGCCACAUGCGACACGCUACAGGGAAGGCCGACCACCAGAACCCCUUUCUCCCUGUUCUCGCCUACAGACGCGCCGUCCUCCGCCGCAGGUUGCUUAUCGAAGUCAUGCUCCUUCGCGAGAUUCAAGGAUUUUUUUGCCCACCUCCGUCUUGCAUUCAAGGAGCUACCUUCAUCUUGCAUUCCGGCCAUCUUCUACUCAGACUUGCGAAAGAUGGAUUGAGCACUAUCACAAUAAUGUGAACAGAGUGACAAGUUUCUCUUUUUGUAGAGGAAUGUGAGUUAUCAAUGACACAACAAAGAAUAAUGUUGGCGCCUAUCGGAGUGCCUGUGGUGAUCAUGAAGUCCGUUGCUCUGCUUCUUAUGGUUGGAGUUGGGUAUUUGUAUUAUGAGUUAUAUACGUAAAUUUGCAUAGAUCUGAGUGUCUAUAUUUGUGUUAUAUAUAUAUAUUGAAUAUUGUAAAAUUGUACAAAUUUAAGUUUGAUUUUUCACAUAUCUGAAGAUUGUAAAUUUAUUGAUAUAUAUUGGUGAUGUUAAAUAUAUUUUUUUAUUUGUGACUUUAGUAAUUUUGAUAUUGGUUCUAUUUUAUUUGGUA